This 474-nucleotide ribosomal RNA is filed under the name uncultured bacterium. RNAcentral describes it as "partial 16S ribosomal RNA". It matches the Rfam family "Bacterial small subunit ribosomal RNA", at positions 28 to 507 of the family's 1533-position model. The record is from RNAcentral.
GAUGAACGCUAGCGGCAGGCCUAACACAUGCAAGUCGAGGGAGGAGCUUUCGGGCUUCGACCGGCGUACGGGUGCGUAACGCGUAUACAAUCUGCCUUUCGCAUAGGGAUAGCCCGAAGAAAUUUGGAUUAAUACCUAAUGGUAUAUAGAGGUGGCAUCACCUUUAUAUUAAAGCUGAGGCGGUGAAAGAUGAGUAUGCGUUCUAUUAGCUAGUUGGAGAGGUAACGGCUCCCCAAGGCGACGAUAGAUAGGGGUUCUGAGAGGGAUAUCCCCCACACUGGUACUGAGAUACGGACCAGACUCCUACGGGAGGCAGCAGUGAGGAAUAUUGGACAAUGGUCGGAAGACUGAUCCAGCCAUGCCGCGUGCAGGAAGACGGCCUUAUGGGUUGUAAACUGCUUUUGCAGGGGAAGAAUAAGGACUACGCGUAGUUUGAUGACGGUACUCUGCGAAUAAGCAUCGGCUAACUCCGUG